CAGCUACCCCUUGAGGAAGGCCUUAGGUAUUUUCCUCAAGGGCUGCCACGGUUGGUAGUGUUUACUCCACUGAUCACAUUCACUCUGUGGGUGUUUAUUUACUGUUUACCUAGUCAUGGUAAAUCAAUCAAUCACAUAUUUCUCCAUUUUUAUUUCUCAAAAGAUGACCCCGUUCCAUUUCCUCAUCAUCACCCAACAAGGGAGGUACUAUUGUCUUUGUUUAAUGGAUGAAGACACUAAACCUGCAAGGGUAAGAGUCUUGCCACAAGUGGGUCACAAAUCUAAGAAGUGGAUCACAUAUCUAAGAAGUGGAUCACAUAUAGAUUGUAAAGGCAGAGACACAGAGGGAGAGCACUAUGUGAUGUUGAAAGCAGAGAUUGGAGUUAUGCAGUUUUGAGACAAAGUGAAAGGGGAGUAAAAAGCAACCAGAGAAAAGAAGCAGAUGGGGAAACCGCUUGUGAGAAUGCCUUGUUCUGCAAAACCUUAUCACAGGGGCAGCAAGGGGAGCUGCCUUCUAUGUGACCUUACCUGAGUAGUUCCCAAAUCCUUGUUCUUGGACAUGGGAGGGCUGGAUGCCCAAAAAUCUCCUGAGGAACAUGAAUUACAAAACCCAAGAAAAACAGAACCCCUGGCUUCACUCUGAUUUGGAGGGAUAAAGUGGGGUGUAGCAGGGUUAGCAAGUCUUAGUCCAAUGGACCAGUGUCUUAGUCUAUUUUGGGCUGCUAUCAUAGAAUACUCGACCCUGGCUAAUUUAUGCAGAACAGAGAUUCGUUUCUUACAGUUCUGCAGACUGGGAAGUUCAAGGGUGAGGAGCCUGCAUCUUCUAAGGAACUUCUCGCUACAUCUUUGGAUGGUAGAAGCAGAAGACAAG
This 871-nucleotide long non-coding RNA is filed under the name Heterocephalus glaber (naked mole-rat). RNAcentral describes it as "lncRNA (ENSHGLG00000050755.1)". Lineage: Eukaryota; Metazoa; Chordata; Mammalia; Rodentia; Bathyergidae. The record is from RNAcentral.